ACGCUGGCGGCAGGCCUAACACAUGCAAGUCGAGCGGAAACGAGUUAUCUGAACCUUCGGGGAACGAUAACGGCGUCGAGCGGCGGACGGGUGAGUAAUGCCUAGGAAAUUGCCCUGAUGUGGGGGAUAACCAUUGGAAACGAUGGCUAAUACCGCAUGAUGCCUACGGGCCAAAGAGGGGGACCUUCGGGCCUCUCGCGUCAGGAUAUGCCUAGGUGGGAUUAGCUAGUUGGUGAGGUAAGGGCUCACCAAGGCGACGAUCCCUAGCUGGUCUGAGAGGAUGAUCAGCCACACUGGAACUGAGACACGGUCCAGACUCCUACGGGAGGCAGCAGUGGGGAAUAUUGCACAAUGGGCGCAAGCCUGAUGCAGCCAUGCCGCGUGUAUGAAGAAGGCCUUCGGGUUGUAAAGUACUUUCAGUCGUGAGGAAGGUGGUGUAGUUAAUAGCUGCAUCGUUUGACGUUAGCGACAGAAGAAGCACCGGCUAACUCCGUGCCAGCAGCCGCGGUAAUACGGAGGGUGCGAGCGUUAAUCGGAAUUACUGGGCGUAAAGCGCAUGCAGGUGGUUUGUUAAGUCAGAUGUGAAAGCCCGGGGCUCAACCUCGGAAUAGCAUUUGAAACUGGCAGACUAGAGUACUGUAGAGGGGGGUAGAAUUUCAGGUGUAGCGGUGAAAUGCGUAGAGAUCUGAAGGAAUACCGGUGGCGAAGGCGGCCCCCUGGACAGAUACUGACACUCAGAUGCGAAAGCGUGGGGAGCAAACAGGAUUAGAUACCCUGGUAGUCCACGCCGUAAACGAUGUCUACUUGGAGGUUGUGGCCUUGAGCCGUGGCUUUCGGAGCUAACGCGUUAAGUAGACCGCCUGGGGAGUACGGUCGCAAGAUUAAAACUCAAAUGAAUUGACGGGGGCCCGCACAAGCGGUGGAGCAUGUGGUUUAAUUCGAUGCAACGCGAAGAACCUUACCUACUCUUGACAUCCAGAGAACUUUCCAGAGAUGGAUUGGUGCCUUCGGGAACUCUGAGACAGGUGCUGCAUGGCUGUCGUCAGCUCGUGUUGUGAAAUGUUG
This 1065-nucleotide ribosomal RNA is filed under the name Vibrio alginolyticus. RNAcentral describes it as "bacterial SSU rRNA". It matches the Rfam family "Bacterial small subunit ribosomal RNA", at positions 33 to 1077 of the family's 1533-position model. Lineage: Bacteria; Pseudomonadati; Pseudomonadota; Gammaproteobacteria; Vibrionales; Vibrionaceae. The record is from RNAcentral.